GAUCCUGGCUCAGGAUGAACGCUAGCGACAGGCUUAACACAUGCAAGUCGAGGGGCAGCAUGAUUUGUAGCAAUACAGAUUGAUGGAGACCGGCGCACGGGUGAGUAACGCUUAUGCAACUUACCUAUCAGAGGGGGAUAGCCCGGCGAAAGUCGGAUUAAUACCCCAUAAAACAGGGGUCCCGCAUGGGAAUAUUUGUUAAAGAUUCAUCGCUGAUAGAUAGGCAUGCG
RNAcentral lists this ribosomal RNA (230 nucleotides) under uncultured bacterium. RNAcentral's name for it is "partial 16S ribosomal RNA". It matches the Rfam family "Bacterial small subunit ribosomal RNA", at positions 15 to 235 of the family's 1533-position model. The record is from RNAcentral.